This 486-nucleotide ribosomal RNA is filed under the name Klebsiella pneumoniae. RNAcentral's name for it is "partial 23S ribosomal RNA". It matches the Rfam family "Bacterial large subunit ribosomal RNA", at positions 1140 to 1629 of the family's 2925-position model. The record is from RNAcentral. Lineage: Bacteria; Pseudomonadati; Pseudomonadota; Gammaproteobacteria; Enterobacterales; Enterobacteriaceae.
GCUCACUGGUCGAGUCGGCCUGCGCGGAAGAUGUAACGGGGCUAAACCAUGCACCGAAGCUGCGGCAGCGACGCUUAUGCGUUGUUGGGUAGGGGAGCGUUCUGUAAGCCUGCGAAGGUGGCCUGUGAGGGCUGCUGGAGGUAUCAGAAGUGCGAAUGCUGACAUAAGUAACGAUAAAGCGGGUGAAAAGCCCGCUCGCCGGAAGACCAAGGGUUCCUGUCCAACGUUAAUCGGGGCAGGGUGAGUCGACCCCUAAGGCGAGGCCGAAAGGCGUAGUCGAUGGGAAACAGGUUAAUAUUCCUGUACUUGGUGUUACUGCGAAGGGGGGACGGAGAAGGCUAUGUUAGCCGGGCGACGGUUGUCCCGGUUUAAGCAUGUAGGCGGAGGUUCCAGGUAAAUCCGGUACCUUUUAACGCUGAGGUGUGAUGACGAGGCACUACGGUGCUGAAGUAACAAAUGCCCUGCUUCCAGGAAAAGCCUCUAAGC